GGUUUAAUACUAGUGGUGGAGCAUGUGGUUUAAUGCGAUAAUCCGCGCAAAAUCUUACCAAUUCUUGACAUAUCUGAAUAAUUGUAAAUAUUAAUAUGGUUUUUAUUUACAAUAUUUUGAAACAGGUGUUGCACGACUGUCGUCAGCUCGUGUUGUGAGACGUCUGAUUAAGUUCUGAAACGGGCGUAACUCUUGCUUUUUAUUAAGUUUUUUACAAAUUAAAGGUUUUUACGGAAGUAAAAAUUUUUAAUGCUUUAAAAGUACGGUCAAUGAUAAAUUGAAGGAAGGCAAGAACGAAGUCAAGUCAAUGUGACCCUAAUGAAUUGGGCUACACACGUGCUACAAUGGCGCAUACAGAGGGCGGCCAACUUGCGAGAGUGAGCGAAUCCCAAAAAGUGCGUCGUAGUCCGGAUCGGAGUCUGCAACUCGACUCCGUGAAGUCGGAAUCGCUAGUAAUCG
RNAcentral lists this ribosomal RNA (459 nucleotides) under uncultured bacterium. RNAcentral describes it as "bacterial SSU rRNA". It matches the Rfam family "Bacterial small subunit ribosomal RNA", at positions 925 to 1344 of the family's 1533-position model. The record is from RNAcentral.